Molecule: ribosomal RNA, 292 nt
Filed under: uncultured bacterium
Lineage: Bacteria
Description: partial 16S ribosomal RNA
Source: RNAcentral
GGACUACACGGGUAUCUAAUCCCGUUCGCUCCCCUGGCUUUCGUGUCUCAGCGUCAGCACACCCCCAGCGAGUUGUUUUCACCAUUGGCGUUCCAAAUGAUAUCUACGCAUUUCACCGCUCCACCAUUUGUUCCACUCGCCCCUAGGUGGCUCAAGACUCCCAGUAUACCCAGCCGUUCCACGGGUAAGCCGUGGGAUUUCACAAGGUACUUAGAAGUCCGCCUACACACGCUUUAAGCCCAGUGAUUCCGCCUAACGCUCGAGGCCUCUGUAUUACCGCGGCGGCUGGCAC